This 527-nucleotide ribosomal RNA is filed under the name uncultured bacterium. RNAcentral describes it as "bacterial SSU rRNA". It matches the Rfam family "Bacterial small subunit ribosomal RNA", at positions 777 to 1301 of the family's 1533-position model. The record is from RNAcentral.
AAUAGAUACCCGGGUAGUCCAUGCCGUAAACGAUGUCUACUAGCCGUUGGGGCCCUUGAGGCUUUAGUGGCGCAGCUAACGCGAUAAGUAGACCGCCUGGGGAGUACGGUCGCAAGACUAAAACUCAAAUGAAUUGACGGGGGGCCCGCACAAGCGGUGGAGCAUGUGGUCUAAUUCGAUGCAACGCGAAGAACCUUACCUGGCCUUGACAUACAGAGAACUUUCCAGAGAUGGAUUGGUGCCUUCGGGAACUCUGAUACAGGUGCUGCAUGGCUGUCGUCAGCUCGUGUCGUGAGAUGUUGGGUUAAGUCCCGCAACGAGCGCAACCCUUUUCCUUAUUUGCCAGCACUUCGGGUGGGAACUUUAAGGAUACUGCCAGUGACAAACUGGAGGAAGGCGGGGACGACGUCAAGUCGAUCAUGGCCCUUACGGCCAGGGCUACACACGUGCUACAAUGGUCGGUACAAAGGGUUGCGUACUGCGCGAGCAGAUGCUAAUCUCAAAAAGCCGAUCGUAGUCCGGAUCGC